This 442-nucleotide ribosomal RNA is filed under the name uncultured bacterium. RNAcentral describes it as "partial 16S ribosomal RNA". It matches the Rfam family "Bacterial small subunit ribosomal RNA", at positions 338 to 795 of the family's 1533-position model. The record is from RNAcentral.
CCUACGGGGAGCAGCAGUGGGGAAUAUUGGGCAAUGGGCGCAAGCCUGACCCAGCAACGCCGCGUGAAGGAAGAAGGCUUUCGGGUUGUAAACUUCUUUUGUCAGGGAAGAGUAGAAGACGGUACCUGACGAAUAAGCCACGGCUAACUACGUGCCAGCAGCCGCGGUAAUACGUAGGUGGCAAGCGUUGUCCGGAUUUACUGGGUGUAAAGGGCGUGUAGCCGGGUUGACAAGUCAGAUGUGAAAUCCUGCGGCUUAACCGCAGAACUGCAUUUGAAACUGUUGAUCUUGAGUACUGGAGAGGCAGACGGGAUUCCUAGUGUAGCGGUGAAAUGCGUAGAUAUUAGGAGGAACACCAGUGGCGAAGGCGGUCUGCUGGACAGCAACUGACGGUGUGGCGCGAAAGCGUGGGGAGCAAACAGGAUUAGAUACCCUUGUAGUC